CGCGUUAUCAAAGAUUACUCAAAAAGUAGUUAUCAGUUCUCAAUAAAAUUUAUAUGUGACCACAUGACAAACAUCAGCUUUCGAUUAAAUUAAAAAUUAUUAAAAUCGGUACACCCAGUAAAAAGUUAUUGCGGAUUUUCAAGAGUUUCCCUCGAUUUAUCUGGGAUCCCAUCAUCAGAUCCUAGUUUCCUUAUCAUGGUACCAAACUAGGGAUAUCUCCUUUCCAACAAAAAAAGAAUUAUCAAAAUCGGUACAUCCAGUAGAAAGUUAUGUGGUAUAAUACAAUGUAGGUCGACGAAAAAAGCGUCAAGUAAAAACGCAUUAUUAGAUAUAACUCGAAAAGUAGUUGUUAGAUCUCAAAUAAAUUUAAAUGGGACCAAUCGGCACACACCACCUUUCGAUUAAAACAAAAUUUGUCGAAAUCGGUCUACCCGGUCAAAAGUUCUGAUGUAACAUACAUAAA
Molecule: unclassified non-coding RNA, 463 nt
Filed under: Melitaea cinxia (Glanville fritillary)
Lineage: Eukaryota; Metazoa; Arthropoda; Insecta; Lepidoptera; Nymphalidae
Description: misc RNA ENSMCXG00005007316.1
Source: RNAcentral